This 433-nucleotide ribosomal RNA is filed under the name uncultured bacterium. RNAcentral describes it as "partial 16S ribosomal RNA". It matches the Rfam family "Bacterial small subunit ribosomal RNA", at positions 29 to 507 of the family's 1533-position model. The record is from RNAcentral.
AACGAACGCUGGCGGCAUGCCUAACACAUGCAAGUCGAACGAGACCUUCGGGUCUAGUGGCGCACGGGUGCGUAACGCGUGGGAACCUGCCCUUAGGUUCGGAAUAACUCCCCGAAAGGGGUGCUAAUACCGGAUAAUGUCUUCGGACCAAAGAUUUAUCGCCUUUGGAUGGGCCCGCGUUGGAUUAGCUAGUUGGUAGGGUAAAAGCCUACCAAGGCGACGAUCCAUAGCUGGUCUGAGAGGAUGAUCAGCCACACUGGGACUGAGACACGGCCCAGACUCCUACGGGAGGCAGCAGUGGGGAAUAUAGGACAAUGGGCGAAAGCCUGAUCCAGCAAUGCCGCGUGAGUGAUGAAGGCCUUAGAGUUGUAAAGCUCUUUUACCCGGGAUGAUAAUGACAGUACCGGGAGAAUAAGCUCCGGCUAACUCCGUG